This 468-nucleotide ribosomal RNA is filed under the name uncultured bacterium. RNAcentral describes it as "partial 16S ribosomal RNA". It matches the Rfam family "Bacterial small subunit ribosomal RNA", at positions 28 to 507 of the family's 1533-position model. The record is from RNAcentral.
GACGAACGCUGGCGGCGUGCUUAACACAUGCCAGUCGAACGGAAAGGCCCUGCUUUUGUGUGGUGCUCUAGUGGCGAACGGAUGAGUAACACUUGAGUAACCUGCCCUUGACUUUGGGAUAACUUCAGGAAACUGGGGCUAAUACCGGAUAAUAGCUCCUGCUGCAUGGUGGGGGGUGGCAAGUUUCGUCGGUUGUGGAUGGACUCGCGGCUUAUCAGCUUGUUGGUGGGGUAGUGGCUUACCAAGGCUUUGACGGGUAGCCGGCCUGAGAGGGUGAACGGCAACAUGGGGACUGAGAUAGGGCCCAGACUCCUACGGGAGGCAGCAGUGGGGAAUAUUGCACAAUGGGCGGAAGCCUGAUGCAGCAACGCCGCGUGCGGGAUGAAGGCCUUGGGGUUGUAAACCGCUUUCGCCUGUGACGAAGCGUGAGUGACGGUAAUGGGUAAAGAAGCACCGGCUAACUACGUG